This 510-nucleotide ribosomal RNA is filed under the name uncultured bacterium. RNAcentral describes it as "partial 16S ribosomal RNA". The record is from RNAcentral.
GGAGUUAGCCGGUGCUUCUUCUGUGAGUGAUGUCCUUCCUGCCGGCUAUUAACCCGCAGGCCUUCUUCCUCACUGAAAGUGCUUUACAACCCGAAGGCCUUCUUCACACACGCGGCAUGGCUGGAUCAGGGUUGCCCCCAUUGUCCAAUAUUCCCCACUGCUGCCUCCCGUAGGAGUCUGGGCCGUGUCUCAGUCCCAGUGUGGCUGAUCAUCCUCUCAGACCAGCUACGGAUCGUCGCCUUGGUGAGCCGUUACCUCACCAACCAGCUAAUCCGACAUAGGCUCAUCCGAUAGCGCGAGGCCCGAAGGUCCCCCGCUUUCCCCCGUAGGGCCGUAUGCGGUAUUAGCCUGGGUUUCCCCAGGGUUAUCCCCCACUACCCGGGCAGAUUCCUAUGCAUUACUCACCCGUCCGCCGCUCGCCACCAGGGAGCAAGCUCCCCGUGCUGCCGCUCGACUUGCAUGUGUUAGGCCUGCCGCCAGCGUUCAAUCUGAGCCAGAAUCGAACCCUGA